Long non-coding RNA from Haemorhous mexicanus (house finch), 1687 nucleotides. RefSeq lists it as uncharacterized. The record is from RefSeq and is a predicted model, not a curated record. NCBI's taxonomy places the organism in Eukaryota, Metazoa, Chordata, Aves, Passeriformes, Fringillidae. The transcript is spliced from 2 exons.
CUCCCACCUGGUUGGUGGCUCACCUAUCCUUUCCCUCCCCCCUCCCUGUGGGCUUAAAAGACACUGAAACCAUGCGGUCGGUAUUCUGUUGGAGCUGUUACCAAGAUUCAGAGCUCUGUGACCCUGGAAUAAACUCUGGAUUUAACCCUCCGGCGGAAUCCGCUCUUUUUCCUCUUCACCAUCACCUGAACCUUUUCCACUAGAGCAAAGUGCAGGCCUCAGUUUGCCUUCACCUGGAGAGGCGUGCAGUACACCUGGAACCGACUGCCCCAGGGGUGGAAGCACAGUCCUACUAUCUGCCAUGGACUGAUCCAGACUGCACUGGAAAAGGGUGAGGCUCCGGAACAUCUACACUACAUCAAUGACAUCAUUGUGUGGGGGAAAACAGCAGUGGAAGUAUUUGAGAAAGGAGAGAAAAUCAUCCAGAUUCUCCUGGAAGCCAGCUUUGCCAUCAAAAAGAGCAAAGUCAAGGGAUCUGCCAGAGAGAUCCAGUUCCUGUGAGUGAAGUGGCAAGACAGACAGCGUCAGAUAUCCACAGAGGUCAUCAAUAAGAUCACAGUGAUGUCUCCACCGACCAACAAAAAGGAAAUGCAAGCUUUCCUAGGUGCCAUAGGUUUCUGGAUGAUGCACAUCCCUGACUACAUCCAGAUUGCGAGCCCUCUUUACCUGGUAACCACAAGAAGAACAAAUUUCCAUUGGGGCCCUGAACAGUAACAAGCCUUCGCCCAGAUCAAGCAGGAGAUUGCUCAUACGAUAGCCCUUGGCCCAGUGUAUUGGUUUUUCACAGCCUAGUUUUGGCAGCAGGGGGGCCACACAAGAUGGCUCCUGUGGGAAGCUGCUGGAAGCUUCCACCAUGUCCAGCAGAGCCAAUCCUUGAUGGCUCUGAAGAUGGACAUGCUGCUCACCAAAACUGGGCCAAUGAGGGAGGCUGGUAAUGCCUCUGUGAUGACAUAUUUAAGAAGAAAAUCAAAAUUAAGUAACUGGUUUUUGCUUUGAGUCAGAGAAGAGGAGGAGGUGAGAACAUGUGAGGGAAAACAACAUGGCGACACCAAGGUCAGUGGAGAAGGAGGGGAAGGAAGUGCUCCAGGCGCCGGAGCUGGGAUUCCUCUGCAAGCUGUGAUGAUGACCAUGGUAAAGAAGGUUGCCCCCCUGCAGCCCAUAGAGGUCCACAGGGGAUGCAGAGAUACACCCUCAGCCUAUGGGGGGAGGUGCCCAUGCUGGAGUGGGUGGAUGCCUGGAGGAGGCUGUGAUCAAGUGGAAGACCUGGUGGAGAGAGGGGACCCCUGCUUCCAAGCUGGAGCAGCCUGUCCUUGAAGGACUGCACCCCAUGAAAAAAGAGACCCAUAUUGCAGCAGUUUUGGGAGGACUGUCUGCCCAUGGGAGGGUCUCACGUUGCAGCGGGUGCAGAAGGACUUCUGCUUGUGAGAUUGGACCCAAGCUGGAGAAGUUCACAGGGAACUGUCUCUCGUGGGAAGGACCUGACAGUCUCACAGGGGAAAGACUCCUGUCUCAGAGCAUGGGAAAGAAAAUCUUGGUGAUGAACUGAUCAAAACCUCCAUGCCCUGUCUCCCCGUGCUGUUGGUGGGAAGGAGGGAGGGGCUCUGGGGAAAUGGUGUCUAAAGGGCUUAUUUUGCUUCUCAUUAUCCUCCUCUGAUUCUCUUAGUAAUAAAGUUACUUUGAAGCUUAA